UUGGCGCUGCCUGCCCGCCGCCCCGGAAGGCGCUGGGCUCGAACCGGGGCCGCGGCGGCUCCGCCAGGCGCUCCCCGGUGGAUCAGGAGGUGCUGCCCCGGUGACCGGAGGUCGGAAUGGGCCGGCGCUCCUCGGACACGGAGGAGGAGGGCAGGAGCAGGAGGAAGAAGAAGCACCGGCGGCGCUCCUCCUCCAGCAGCUCCUCGGACAGCCGCGCCUACAGCCGCAAGAAGUCGGGCCGGAAAUCCAGGUCCAGGUCGCGGUCCCGGGAUCUUCCGUCCUGGUCCCAUUCCUAUGAGAAAAGGCGCAGACACAGAUCCAGCAGCAGCUCUUCCUACGGCUCCAGGAGGAAGCGCAGCCGCUCCCGGGGCAGAGGCAAAUCCUACAGAUCCCAAAGGUCCAGGUCAAAGAGCAGGACCAGGAGGUAAGAAUCUCCCUAGGAAAG
Molecule: long non-coding RNA, 445 nt
Organism: Camarhynchus parvulus
Lineage: Eukaryota; Metazoa; Chordata; Aves; Passeriformes; Thraupidae
Exons: 4
Source: RefSeq, a predicted model, not a curated record